Molecule: ribosomal RNA, 465 nt
Filed under: uncultured bacterium
Lineage: Bacteria
Description: partial 16S ribosomal RNA
Rfam family: Bacterial small subunit ribosomal RNA
Source: RNAcentral
CCUAUGGGCGGCAGCAGUAGGGAAUCUUCCACAAUGGGCGAAAGCCUGAUGGAGCAACGCCGCGUGGGUGAAGAAGGUCUUCGGAUCGUAAAACCCUGUUGUUAGAGAAGAAAGUGCGUGAGAGUAACUGUUCACGUUUCGACGGUAUCUAACCAGAAAGCCACGGCUAACUACGUGCCAGCAGCCGCGGUAAUACGUAGGUGGCAAGCGUUAUCCGGAUUUGUUGGGCGUAAAGGGAACGCAGGCGUGCUUUUAAGUCUGAGGUGAAAGCCUUCGGCUCAACCGGAGUAGUGCAUUGGAAACUGGGAGACGUGAUUGCAGAAGAGGAGAGUGGAACUCCAGGUGUAGCGGUGAAAUGCGUAUAUAUAUGGAAGAACACCAGUGGCGAAGGCGGCUCUCUGGUCUGUAACUGACGCUGAGGUUCGAAAGCGUGGGUAGCAAACAGGAUUAGAUACCCUUGUAGUC